Molecule: long non-coding RNA, 389 nt
Organism: Rhopalosiphum padi (bird cherry-oat aphid)
Lineage: Eukaryota; Metazoa; Arthropoda; Insecta; Hemiptera; Aphididae
Exons: 4
Source: RefSeq, a predicted model, not a curated record
CCGCGGCCACUGCAGCAGCAGCCGCUGCCGCCGUCGCCGAAUCAUAAUUGUGUUCGUGUUUGAUUUCCACCGUUGUAUGUUUAUUCACUGAAAAAAAAAUUUUCAAUUCAUCUUUAUUAGAUGGCCACGCGUAUACACAGCUGCAAACGAUAAGCAAAAUCUGACGUUUUGAACCAGCCAUGAGAAAUUCGACAUUCAAGUGGUCAAUCGAUCAUAACUUUUUUUAUCAUCCGGUUACAUGCCUAGAAUUGACUAGUAUACGAUUUUUAUACCAACCUAAUAGAUCUAUGGCCGCGGAAGUGGAUUGUCUGUGAUUUUCCACGUUUGACGAACCGUUAGAAGAAGAGGAGGAUGACGAAGGCUGCUUCUUGGGUUUCCUCUUCCUCGUC